Molecule: ribosomal RNA, 377 nt
Filed under: uncultured eukaryote
Lineage: Eukaryota
Description: partial 18S ribosomal RNA
Rfam family: Eukaryotic small subunit ribosomal RNA
Source: RNAcentral
CAAUAGCGUAUAUUAAAGUUGUUGCAGUUAAAAAGCUCGUAGUUGGAUUUCGGGGCAGCCUGGCUGGUCCGCCGCAAGGCGAGUACUGGUCAGCCGCCCUUCCUCUCGAAAGCCCCGACUGCUCUUCGUUGCAGUGGUCGGGUAGUUCGGGACGUUUACUUUGAAAAAAUUAGAGUGUUCAAGGCAGGCCUACGCCUGAAUACAUUAGCAUGGAAUAAUGGAAGAGGACCUCGGUCCUAUUUUGUUGGUUUCCAGGGCCGAAGUAGUGAUUAAGAGGGACAGUUGGGGGCAUUCGUAUUUAAUUGUCAGAGGUGAAAUUCUCGGAUUUAUGAAAGACGAACAACUGCGAAAGCAUUUGCCAAGGAUGUUUUCAUUAA